RNAcentral lists this long non-coding RNA (626 nucleotides) under Malus domestica (apple). RNAcentral describes it as "long non-coding RNA (MDOM_LNC002212)". The record is from RNAcentral. Lineage: Eukaryota; Viridiplantae; Streptophyta; Magnoliopsida; Rosales; Rosaceae.
AAAGAAACUUGAAGAUAGUGAAUGGAGAAAAAGUUGGAAUAAUCUACCUCUAGCAUUUUGAUAAAUGCAUCCUUCAUCCAGGUGAUGUAGGAUAAUAAAAAACAAUAGGAAUGCAAGAAGAUAUUUAGACGCACUCCGGGCUUUGGCAUCACACCAAAGGCGUAAGUGAACCACUCUCAUAGAGAAAUUAAAAAUAUUUCGGCAUCACAUCGGUGGUGCCUUGAAACCCCUCCAAGUGAACCUGUGCCUCACACGGAUACAAGAGAUCCAUAAUUUCUUUUCACUCGCUCUCAUUUUAAAAUCUUACAAUACACAAAUCUGUAAAGAUCCACAUUAAUCUACUUGAAAAUCCUAAAGACUAAGUUAUGACACCUGAUACAUUAACCUGCAGAGUACAUGUGCAAACUGCAUUUAUUACAUAAGAAACUAAAAAGCCUCUAAUUUCUUAAAUUUUAAACUUGGCUCCAGCAUCACCAGGACAACAGCACACACUGCGUGUUUAUUACAUAAGAAACUAAAAAGCCUCUAAUUUCUUAAAUUUUAAACUUGGCUCCUGCAUCACCAGGACAACAGCACACACUGCGUGUGCAAACAUGCAAAUUGAGUUUAGGGUACUUGGAGACAUA